UCUCCAGGGGAUCUUCCUGACCCAGAGAUCUAACCUGAGUCUGUGAGCUCUAAUUCCAUCUCUGUGCUGGCCUCUCUAUGUGGAUGGCUCCCUUCCCCAGCCCCCGCCCGUGGAUGUGAUGGCGGCUCCGGCUCUGCCCCGCUGUCUGUCCCUCCUCGUCCUCCUCUUGUCCCUGGCCAUCCCUCAGGCAUCUACAGCAGUGAACGGAUUGAGCAUCUCCUCACCUGGUAGGGACAGGAGUGGCGGGAGAACCCUUGAAGGCCAUGCGUGGCCUACAGCCAGCCCCACACGAAGCAUCUUCAAGGCAAAUGCUUCCAACAUCACAUGCUUCUAUAACUCGAGAGCCAACGUCUCCUGCACCUGGAACCAUGAUGAGGGCCUGCAGGCCACCGCCUGCUGCUUGCACAGCCGUCA
Long non-coding RNA from Capra hircus (goat), 414 nucleotides. RefSeq lists it as uncharacterized. The record is from RefSeq and is a predicted model, not a curated record. The transcript has 3 exons. NCBI's taxonomy places the organism in Eukaryota, Metazoa, Chordata, Mammalia, Artiodactyla, Bovidae.